RNAcentral lists this ribosomal RNA (1512 nucleotides) under Paenibacillus sp. RNAcentral describes it as "partial 16S ribosomal RNA". It matches the Rfam family "Bacterial small subunit ribosomal RNA". Lineage: Bacteria; Bacillati; Bacillota; Bacilli; Caryophanales; Paenibacillaceae. The record is from RNAcentral.
GUCAGGAUGAACGCUGGCGGCGUGCUAAUACAUGCAAGUCGAGCGAAUGGGAUAGAAGCUUGGUACUCUGAGAUGCUGAGCGGCAGAGGGGUGAAUCAUACGUGUAUCACCUCCCUAUGAGUCGGAUAUAUCUCGGAGACACGGGGUAUAAUACGAUAUAGUUGAUUUCCUCACAUGAGGGAAUCGAAAAGGGGCGGAGCGAUGUCCCAUUUAUGGAUGGACGUACGGCGCUUGAUCUAGUGUGAGGUAUAGCGUCUCCACAAGGAGGCGAUGUAUAGCACCCGAGAGAGUGAUAUGGCACACACUGAGACUGACACGGGCCCCAGUCUCAUACGAGACACCGCUAUAGAAUAUUUUGCACAAGGGAAACAUGUGAGAGAGAGCAACGGCGCGAGAGAGAUAAAGGUUUUGGUAUUAAAAAUCUGUGUUUCCAGAAAAGCAAGUUAUGGAGAGUAAAGGUUCCACAGGUGACGUACCUAACCAAGAAAGCCCGGGUAAAUUAGGUCCCACCAGCCGGGUUAUUAGUUGGGGGCCAAGGUUUUUCGGAAAUUUUUGGGGUAAAAGGGGGGCCGGGGGGUCAUGUAAUUUGAGGUGAAAAACCCGGGGUUCACCUCGGGGUGUCAUCGGAAACUGGGAGACUUGAGUGCAGAAGAGGAAAGUGGAAUUCCAUGUGUAGCGGUGAAAUGCGUAGAGAUGUGGAGGAACACCAGUGGCGAAGGCGACUUUCUGGGCUGUAACUGACGCUGAGGCGCGAAAGCGUGGGGAGCAAACAGGAUUAGAUACCCUGGUAGUCCACGCCGUAAMCGAUGAAUGCUAAGUGUUAGAGGGUUUUCCRCAUACCCUUUGGUGCCUGAAGUUAACGCAUUAAGCAYUCCGCMUGGGGAGUACGGUCGCAAGACKGAAACUCAAAGGAAUUGACGGGGACCCGCACAAGCGGUGGAGUAUGUGGUUUAAUUCGAAGCAACGCGAAGAACCUUACCAGGUCUUGACAUCCCUCUAACCGUCCUAAAAAUAGGGUUCCCCUUCGGGACCAAAGUGACAGGUGGUGCAUGGUUGUCGUCAGCUCGUGUCGUGAGAUGUUGGGUUAAGUCCCGCAACGAGCGCAACCCUUGAUUUUAGUUGCCAUCAUUGAGUUGGGCACUCUAAAGUGACUGCCGGUGACAAACCGGAGGAAGGUGGGGAUGACGUCAAAUCAUCAUGCCCCUUAUGACCUGGGCUACACACGUGCUACAAUGGAUGGUACAACGAGAUGCGAAACCGCGAGGUGGAGCUAAUCUCAUAAAACCAUUCUCAGUUCGGAUUGCAGGCUGCAACUCGCCUGCAUGAAGUCGGAAUCGCUAGUAAUCGCGGAUCAGCAUGCCGCGGUGAAUACGUUCCCGGGUCUUGUACACACCGCCCGUCACACCACGAGAGUUUACAACACCCGAAGUCGGUGGGGUAACCUUUUGGAGCCAGCCGCCUAAGGUGGGGUAGAUGAUUGGGGUGAAGUCUAAAAGGGGGAAACCAGGGGGG